This 164-nucleotide ribosomal RNA is filed under the name uncultured bacterium. RNAcentral's name for it is "partial 16S ribosomal RNA". It matches the Rfam family "Bacterial small subunit ribosomal RNA", at positions 354 to 508 of the family's 1533-position model. The record is from RNAcentral.
UAGGGAAAUAUUGCGCACUGGAGGAAACUCUGAACGCAGCGACGCCGCGUGGGUGAUGAAGGUUUUCGGAUCGUAAAGCCCUGUCGGGAGGGACGAAAAACGGAAUGGCUAACAUCCAUACCGCUUGACGGUACCUCCAAAGGAAGCACCGGCUAACUACGUGC